GAUGAACGCUGGCGGCGUGCCUAACACAUGCAAGUCGAGCGAACCCUUCGGGGUGAGCGGCGGACGGGUGAGUAACGCGUGGGUAACCUGCCCUAUACACACGGAUAACGUACCGAAAGGUACGCUAAUACGGGAUAAAGUUGUUGGAUGGCAUCUUCUAACAAUCAAAGCUCCGGCGGUAUAGGAUGGACCCGCGUCUGAUUAGCUAGUUGGUGAGGUAGUGGCUUACCAAGGCGACGAUCAGUAGCCGACCUGAGAGGGUGAUCGGCCACACUGGAACUGAGACACGGUCCAGACUCCUACGGGAGGCAGCAGUGGGGAAUAUUACACAAUGGGCGAAAGCCUGAUGCAGCAACGCCGCGUGAGCGAUGAAGGUCUUCGGAUCGUAAAGCUCUGUCCUCAAGGAAGAUAAUGACGGUACUUGAGGAGGAAGCCCCGGCUAACUACGUGCCAGCAGCCGCGGUAA
RNAcentral lists this ribosomal RNA (466 nucleotides) under uncultured bacterium. Its description in RNAcentral is "partial 16S ribosomal RNA". It matches the Rfam family "Bacterial small subunit ribosomal RNA", at positions 28 to 523 of the family's 1533-position model. The record is from RNAcentral.